RNAcentral lists this ribosomal RNA (253 nucleotides) under uncultured bacterium. RNAcentral describes it as "partial 16S ribosomal RNA". It matches the Rfam family "Bacterial small subunit ribosomal RNA", at positions 524 to 776 of the family's 1533-position model. The record is from RNAcentral.
CACGUAGGGCGCAAGCGUUGUCCGGAAUUAUUGGGCGUAAAGCGCGCGCAGGCGGUCCUUUAAGUCUGAUGUGAAAGCCCACGGCUCAACCGUGGAGGGUCAUUGGAAACUGGGGGACUUGAGUGCAGAAGAGGAAAGCGGAAUUCCACGUGUAGCGGUGAAAUGCGUAGAGAUGUGGAGGAACACCAGUGGCGAAGGCGGCUUUCUGGUCUGUAACUGACGCUGAGGCGCGAAAGCGUGGGGAGCAAACAGG